Long non-coding RNA from Lotus japonicus, 3441 nucleotides. RefSeq lists it as uncharacterized. The record is from RefSeq and is a predicted model, not a curated record. The transcript is spliced from 6 exons. NCBI's taxonomy places the organism in Eukaryota, Viridiplantae, Streptophyta, Magnoliopsida, Fabales, Fabaceae.
UCUACUUGUAGGAGUACUAAACUUGAAAAGAGAGCCAGAAGGAACACUGUUCCUAAGAAAGCUCUCAAUCCUGGCCGUUCAAUUAUUUUUUUAGCGGCCCCACUUGCUUAUAUUGAUUUUUGACCAUUGAUCAUUGGUGGAUGUAUUUGGGCUGGCCUAAGAAAGGAAGCCCAAUAGUUUCACGGAGCUUACCCCUCUCUACCUGACGUCAUUCUUUCGUUGAAGAUGGAGAUGAUGAAUGGGAAUAGUGUUGGUUUGGUCUUCUCUUCCUGUCAUGAUGUUUGCUUUUCGUCAUUUGUUUAUGGGUUAGGUUGAUAGUAGCUGAUGUGUGUAAGUCAGUGGGUAGAUUUUUGAAGGAGAAGAGUACCAUCUUUGAUUUGAAUGGGGUAUUCGAAUUUUCUCUUUUGAGGAUUAGGUUAGAUGAUGAGUUGAGUGUAGCAGAUAUUGGAAGUACUGACUAUCUGUCUUCUGAUGAUCGGUGCUGUUGAUUUUGUCAUUCUCCCUUGUGGUUCUUUGAUCGUUUGUUCUGAGUGUUAUAGAUUUCAUCAUACUGACGUAAUUUGAGUCAAUCGAGUGUGGGUUAGGCGGAGACUGCCCUGGAUGUGAUUUGGACUAGGGUUAAGUUUUGAAUGAACAUGGGGGAAUAGUGCCCUCCAAUUGUCAGAAAGAGAGAAAAAUGAGAAGGAGUUCCUGUUUGGUCUUCUGCUGAAGCUUCUAUAGAUGUGGUAUUCAAUUUGAUCACGGUGACGAAGAAGAUGGUGGAAGUUGAAGGACGAAAUUUCACUGUUUACGUUUCGUAUGAUCAUAAGGUGACGAAGAAGGACCAGAUUCAGAAGCCAAGAUGAUGAGAGAUCACGUCAGUUCAGUACAAGUGCAGCAGUUGGCAGUUUUGGUGAGCACAAUGUGGCAUUGUCUUCCUAUAUUCGGGGGAAGACACUUUCCUUCUUGCUGCUCCAUGUUUUUCUGCUGCUGGUACUUUGUGAGAGGUAAACCAUUGGUUUCAACUGCCACUAGGAAAUUGAAUUUUUUUAUUUUUCUCUGAUUUAUAAUUUUUUUUAUGAAUGACCUGUGAGUGAUUCUUAGGAGUAUGUAAAGAUAACUGGUAGAUGAAUAAAUCGCUAGGUAUAUUAUUUUUUUGCUUAUGUAUGAGUUUAUGAAAUGCUACAUUCAAGAUUUUUGGUUGUCACAAUAUGAUAUUCAGUUGGUUUGACACAGACACUUACGAUUAUCCACCACAUCUUGAUGCUCACUUGGUAUUAAUCAUUCCUUUAUUUGUGCAAGAGUAACACUGCUAUGCAAUUGAACCAGCCUUUGUGUAUAGAUUUUUUACUAGGAAGUCAAAUGUGCACGAGUUUCACUGCUCUGUUGUAUGGGAAGUUUAAAUCAAUUGCAGAAUUAGUUUUCGUUCCAGUCCAAGCUUUUUGAUUUAGGGUGCCAUCUGCUCUCCUUUAGUGACAAGGUAACAAUUUAAAUGCUUUUUGAAUUAUGAGUUUCUUUAUAGGUGAAUAAUACUCUAUUUCUAGCAAAACAAUUAGGGUGUUUACAAUUGAAUUUGCGUCCUUUGAAUUCUAUAAGCAAUUAAAGGAUGUAUCAAAUUUUUUACAUAUGCUAAGCUUUGGCUUCUUUACACCAUCGUUGCUAUUCCGUUGUGAUUUUUCAGCAAAAGUCUCUUCUACUUGGUCUAAAAUAAACAUUUUAUGUUUCCCUUUCUCUUCAUUUUAGAUAUGUAAGUGGCUCAUAUGAUUCUGGCAAAGUGGCAAUGUCUUCCUCUUAUUGACUAAAGAGAUUUCAAAGCACGAAUCUUCGAAAAUAGUAUAGAGGGUUCAUCGUUGAGGCUUUUCUAUCUUGCACUUUCAGUUUUUGGUAACUCUUCCUCCAAAAUUGGUAACUUUUCCUUUUCAGUUUUGGUAAAUUUGCAAUUUUAGCAUUUUUAACUUUGCCUACACUUCAUAUUUUCAAAAUUGGAUUUGUCACUUAUUACAGAUUACAGGUUUGUUUAUAAAUCUUGAUAAAUACAAUAUUUUAUUUGCUUUGUGUUGUACCCUUUUAAGUUUUUGAUAUCAUUUGUACCUAUUUUUGUUUGAAUGAUGGGUUGCUUUGUUCAAAUCUGGUGCCAAAAGAGGCCUAAUUACAAAUUCUAACGAAUUAUAUUAUUAUGUUGUUCUUUAAAAACUCUUUGUUUGUGCUGGGAUCACAUUAAUUUGAGCCCUAUGUCAGUGGUGUAUUAGUUGAGUGUGCAACUACUGUAAGUUGAUACCUCUGAUAUUCUCCAAUCAUAUUAGCAGUUUCAGUUUAAAAGUUGUUUUUUGUGAACAAUAUCUCUUAUUAUGUGUGGUGAACAUUUGAUUGAAAUUUAAUGCUUUGUUUUAUAAUAGCUUUUGAUUAAUGAUAUAAUUGAGACCAUGUCAUGUGAAAUGUGAUAUUUCUCUUUUGUCAAAUGCACCUGCUGCCAAGCUAACAUUGAGCAGUUUGAUUCUUCGGAGAAUCAUAAGCUAGAGUCAAAUUGAACAGUGCUUUUGCUUUCAAUAGAGUGGAAAGAAAUGGGAUCCAAGAAGGUGGAAGGAAGUCCUCCACAAGCUAUGGAAUUGAAGAAAUGGGUGUAUUGAUUCAGUACAAGUUGAUGCUCAUGAGAGUUCAAAUUAUCUCACUGUUUACAAGUAAUUUACGAGAGACCAAACAAGGCCCUCGUGAGGAUGCUAUUACUUCAAGCUCCAAAUAACCGUGUAUUAAGAUUAAUGUUGUUGAGGAGGGUACUAUUGAGGAAGAUCUUUGUUCAAGUGGAUGCACUACACCAAAGGCUAAAGAGUUCAGAAUUCCGAAGGUAUUUGUGCAAUAAAUGGAGAAGCAAAUUAUGUAAGGUUACAAAUUUAAAAAAAUGAAGCUGUGUUUUUUUUAAUGAAAAUUGAUGAUGUGAAGCUAACUAUGAAUGGGAACUGAUGAAUGUUAUAGUGAACAAUGGACGAAUCAUUUUGUUGCUUAAAUGUGGUUCUUUGUAAAAAUACUUGGAUAUGAUCCUGUGGAUGAUUUUGCAGUUUUAAAGAAAGAUAUUCCAACUAUUGUGUGGACAUAACAAGCACAAAAGAUGGCAAGUUUAUAACUGCGAACUCGAACUCAAGGACUUCAUUGGAGAAAGGAAGUAGACAAAAUGAAAAGGGCCAACUCUUUUUUGUGGGUUUGUGAGUGUGUCGCCAUUUUGCUGAGAAAAAUUGGUGUGAGUACUGCAUCAGAGGGAGAUUUGGGAUAUUUCAAUAAAGGUUCCCCUUGGAGCAGUUCCUACCGGUUUUAUGUACUUAUCGUUUACUUAUGUUUGUUUCUGGUUAGAUAGUUAUUUUCACCAACCACAUGUACUUUAGCUGGUAAUUUUAGAAGUGGUUAGGUUACAUUCUAUAUGAAUUAUUGAUUCCUUUUCGAUAUUUUUUUUGCAUUCCAUGGAUUUUGUGA